CCACCAGUUCAAUGUGUCUGCUCAACCUGAAUAUGUUUUGCAGAGCAUAUUUUAAAAUGACACUGGUAAAGUAAAGCCACAGUACGAGCCUUGAAGACUUCGUAGUCUUUGAGGUCCCAAGAGAUGGCUACACCU
Bubo bubo (Eurasian eagle-owl) is the source of this 135-nucleotide small nucleolar RNA. The record is from Ensembl. NCBI's taxonomy places the organism in Eukaryota, Metazoa, Chordata, Aves, Strigiformes, Strigidae.